This 234-nucleotide ribosomal RNA is filed under the name uncultured bacterium. RNAcentral describes it as "partial 16S ribosomal RNA". It matches the Rfam family "Bacterial small subunit ribosomal RNA", at positions 102 to 334 of the family's 1533-position model. The record is from RNAcentral.
ACGGGUGAGUAACACGUAUCCAACCUGCCGUCUACUCUUGGCCAGCCUUCUGAAAGGAAGAUUAAUCCAGGAUGGCAUCAUGAGUUCACAUGUCCGCAUGAUUAAAGGUAUUUUCCGGUAGACGAUGGGGAUGCGUUCCAUUAGCUAGUUGGCGGGGUUACGGCCCACCAAGGCAACGAUGGAUAGGGGUUCUGAGAGGAAGGUCCCCCACACUGGUACUGAGACACGGACCAG